GAUUCGAGGCCUCCGGCGAAGGCAUAGCCAUCAGUGGCUGAACCACCGGUGACCACCACCAUUUUCAUCUAUCGCAAACCUUAACUACCGAGGCCCCUUCUUUUGAGCAUCUAUCAUUUUUUGGCCAAGAGCCAUAACGGAGCGGUACAUUAUGUUCCAUUUCUGACCAGCUCUGCGACGGUAUAGGGUGUAUGUCCCCAUUUCCAGCUAUCUCAGGUAUUUUACUGUCACGUCGACGGUAUUAUAUGUGCAAACUAUUGAUUUGUCUCCGCUUUUAGAAUUCCGGCGACUUUUGGAGGCACAGAUGGUGAUUUUAAGCUGUUUGGGGUUCUAGACACUUGACAAACCCUAAGAAACCUUUCUAAGUGGCUGCGAGUUGAGUUGUGUAAUAAGUAGCCCUCAAAAUUUUCAAGGACACAUCUAUCCUCCAUGGGAACAAGCUUGCAGACAACUAAUACAGCUUCUGGAAGAAGCACUAGAGUAAAGUGGAAAUGAUAUGGGUCCUGUCAAUAAGAGUCUCAACCAGCUUUUUCUGUUCAAAUCAAAGACAACUACACCUCAGGUAUGAUUUUGGUAACCCAUUCUAGGGUUUCAAUCAGAUUCCGGCAAUGGCAGAACAGACCACCACUAGCAAGCCAACGAUGGUUUAGACGUGUUCAGGCAAGGUUACGACCACUAGAAAAUGAUUUGUGUUAGGGUUUUCGAUGGACAGAAAGGGGCUGCUUGGAGAUGGGUCAAAGUCCAAUCAACUGAGUCACACUGAACCAGAGAGUCACCUUUCAAGUAUUUGCUACCUAACAUGGGUAUAACAACUGAUUUUUGGUGUCUUUUACAUUGUAAUAUAUUUGAUGUCUUUAAUUGUUUUUAAGGUCAUUUAUUGCUCUUAUUUGGCACAACAUACUGAUUUAUGUUAAUUGUUUUUAAAGGUCGUA
Long non-coding RNA from Helianthus annuus (common sunflower), 932 nucleotides. RefSeq lists it as uncharacterized. The record is from RefSeq and is a predicted model, not a curated record. The transcript has 3 exons. NCBI's taxonomy places the organism in Eukaryota, Viridiplantae, Streptophyta, Magnoliopsida, Asterales, Asteraceae.